GUGGUUGGAGAAAGAAGUCUCAGCUUCAAUCAAGUUUUCAAGUUGGAUUAAUACAUGGGAAUGAACUGUUACUUAUCUGCUAUAUUGUUUUUGUGAUAUCAAGUAACCUGAUUUUUUACAUGUCCAAAAAAACAACAACAAAAAAGUAUUGAAGCCUACCUUAAAUUUCAUCUAGGGACAAAAGGAGGAACUAGCCCACCAAGCAGGUUUAAAGGGAGUGUCGGACACAAAAAUGACAUGCCCCAUAUUGCAGUCUAGAAGGAACAACACGGUGAAUUGUCUACUGCAGAACACUUCACUCUGUCUCGAUUACUACAUGGUGAAUUGAAGUUCCAGUAGAGAGGGAGUUGAGCUGAUACUGAGGAGGUAUGUAUGCUAAUACUGCCCAGUACUAACUUGGUGUCCAUUUUAGCAGAAGGCAAGUCACUGCGUUCCUUUUUUCAAUCAGUAAAACUAUAAGGCUGGGUUUGAUUACCAAUUAAGAUUUUUCUGUAUACCAAAUUAUCUGGUCUUUGGAGAAUGAAAAGCUGUUCAAAUCUUAUAAUCAAGCAGCAAAGAAGUACUAGGUAACAUAUUUUCAGUAUAUGCUAUGAGCCAGUUCACAAUGCCAUGCACUUCACUAUAUCAUCUCAUUAAACAAAUUUGUGAGAUUCUCUUACAAUUUCUGUUUCAUACAUGGGAACUGAGGCAUAGAGAGUACCAUGCUCAGGGUCAUGGAAGGAGUAAGCACUGAAACCGGCAGUUGCAUCUGAGUGUAUCUGACUCCUGGAUCUCAGGUCUUCUACAAGCAAACAGGAGUAGUUGCUACAUAGGCCCUCAGAAAAUUAACACAAUAAAUAAUAGGUGCUGUAGUUUGUACCAGAAGCCAGGCACAUUUCUGCCCUUGGUUGCAGCCUCUUCUGCCCAGAUAUUGUCGGUCCAUACUUUCACAACCUGUCGUCUCAUGGUUAAGGAAUCCCUCAGGAGCAGCAGCCACUGCAGCUUCUGGGCUGGCUAGCCACCCUUCUGUAGAUUCCAUGGGUGGGGAAUGGAUCUAGACAGCCUAUUAGUCACAGCACAACAGGCAGCAUGAGCUUCUUGUUGCAUCGGUUCCAUAUGUCCCCAAGGUAGGCCCAGGUGAUUGCCAUGUACAAUGGGGUCUGCAUCACAGCUGAGGAACAUGGGGUGCCAAACCCCUAACCUUAAUGGGGCUGCUAGCAAACCUGCCCAAACUUUGUUUCUGAAGGAGACACUAUCCUUAUUAUCUUGAUCACAAAACAAGUCUGCCCUUUGCCCUUAAGGGAGACACUAGCUUCUAAUGCUGCUAGAUAAAUGUAGUCUGAGAUGCAGAGACACCAUAGAGAACUGCAUCCUGACAAUUCCUAAAGGUGAAAAUGUGGCCAGAAGCAAACUCUAUUCAUAUAUGUGUCCAUCUGGUGGGCUUCCAUAGCAUUUGCCUUGCUCAGACUUCUCUUCACAGCCAAGAAGGAUGAUACAACGUAGAGCAUGGAGUGUGGAUGAGAAGUCCCCACAAGUUCCCCAGAAGGCUAUUUUUCUCUGGAGCAGAUAGUCUGAGUGUAGAUUGGUAUAAUCCAUUUGGAAAACAUUUUGGUAAUAUGAAGAAAAAGACAUAUAAGUACAUUGAUACACAUUCAAUGGAAAUUACAGGUCUUGGAAUCAAUUCCCAAAGGCAUAAUUCAAAACUCUUGGGAAGACCCACAAAAAUAGAUCCUUUAUGUAGCAAAAAGGUGAUCAUAACUUAAGAAUAGGAGAAUAGAUAUGAUAUAGUGUACUUUCUUGAUGAAUUAUUAUCUUUUUACUUAAAAUGAUGGCUAUGGACUCCAAUAAUAAGAAAAAUGUCUAUGACAUAAUGUUAUAUGAAAAACUGGGUUUAAACUGUGUAUAUAAUAUGAAUACAAAUGUGGUAAGACACUCACUCCUAAGGGGAAAAGGUUUGAAGAAAAUUCAUUAACUCCUAAGCAUUUGUUGAAUUAGACUGAGAGAAUGAAGAAUGACUUUUUUUCUCUUUUUAUAAUUCCCUGCUAACUUUAGACACAUAGUUAGAUUUUAAAAGGAAAAAUAUGUAUAAGGCUAAAAAGAAAAAAAAUCGUAGUGAUGUAUUAAUGCCCUCUCUAGACCUAAAUCAGAAACCACCAAGCAUUUUUCUUCUUUUUAAUGUUGUCUUUUCAUUUUUUAGGUUUAUUAAUUAAAAUCUCUCCAUUAAACCUAUUUGUCUGCCCAGCAUAAAACAGCAUCCGGGCCUCUAAAGAGAAGUCAUGGGACAAACUACCUGCCCAGGGCUCACUGUUGAGGCAAAGGUACCCUUCAUCGGACAGGAUUCCAUUUUUUGUCUCCUGGAUCUUUCCUCUUUUUUUUCUUUAUUUAUUUUUAUAUUUAUGUAUUUAUUUAUUUACUGAGACAGGGUCUCGUUCUGUCCCCCAGGCUGGUGUGCAGUGACGCGAUCUCGGCUCACUGCAAGCUCCACCUCCCAGAUUCUCGCCAUUCUCCUGCUUCUGCCUCCAGAGUAGCUGGGACUACAGGCGCCCGCCACCACACCCGGCUAAUUUUUUGUAUAUUUUUUUUAGUGGAGACGGAGUUUCACUGUGUCAGCCAGGAUGGCUUCGAUCUCCUAACUUCCUGAUCCGCCCCCCUCAGCCUCCCAAAGUGUUGGGAUUACAGGCGUGAGCCACCGUGCCAGGCCGAUCUUUCUUUUCUCUACAGGAAUCCCCCCAGGAAUAAAAUGCAAAUUUGCGUGGGUAUUGCAAGGUCCUUAGAAGUUAGUAUUGACUCCUUCAUAAUCCUCUGGCCCUACCCAUCAUUAAUAGAGCCUUCCAUUAACAGCAUCUCCCCGCCUAAGCAUGCUGGGUCCCACCUCGCGACCACCCCUUACUCUAACUGGACCCACACAGAAAUUUUUCAAGCUCCUAGAAUGUUCCAGGGUCUCUGGCUUCCGAAUCUAUCACCUACAGUUCUAUCUGCCCAGAACUCUCUGCCUCCCCAAUUCACUCUCACCAAGCUAGCUGUUUCCUGAUUAAAAUUGCUUUCUUCAUGACAAAACCCUGUACUCCAGAUCCCCCAGUCUGGAUCAGGCACCCCUGCUGGGUCUCCUCCCUAGGAGCCUUCACCUUAGUCCCUGCCGUUACCUGAGUCUCAUCGCCCUCGUGGUGCUCUCAAAUGCUCCCUCCACAGUCUGGGAGGUUUUCACUGGGGACUAUCCUGGAAAAGGCGUAACAUGUGAUUCUAAGAGGUGACAGUGAGCACCCACAUGUCAUCUCAAACUGCUGAGAACAGGGAAGGCAGGUGAAGGUCCCGCUUCUAUUGUUUUGUAACAACAUAAAAGCACAGUUUAUUUCCUACAUAAAUUUUAUUUUCUAAAGAGGCCUUGGGUACUGAGAUGUGAGAUGGACUUCACGGAGAGCUGGCUGCAUCACGAGCCCCAAAGGGUAAGAAUCAGGCCUGGGACAGAGCACUCACACACAUACCGUGUGCUCACAGGUAAGGGCAGGAGUGCGCAGCAAAGAAAGCUUCACAUGGCUCCCAUGUAACCUGACUUUUAUCUCUGCUUUCACAGAAUGAGGCAUAAAACUACCAGCUAGGCACUCGCCUUCCUUUCUAUUUAAAUUUGCUGUAUUGGAAUGCGUUUCUAUGUCUCACCUAAGUUAUUGUCUCAUAGUGCUUGGAUAAACUUUGUUUUCCAUUAUCUUCCUAAAAAUAAACUUCUUGAAAUACUGUGUGUUAAAUCAUCUCAACUUACAUCUGAGGUAAUCAGGCUUUUGGUAAAUUCAUGAAGUAUUUGUUCCAAGUGUUGGAAAUUCACCCUUGAAGUCUCAUCUCUGAGUGAAAUGUCUGCCUUAGAGAAUAACAAUGAUCACAGCACCCCAGGACUUCUCCUGUGUCAGUGGUUCUCCUCCCUCACCAUCUAAGGGGAGGGGGAGAGAAACACCUGCUCUCUCAUGGCAGCUCCACACCCCUCCCCACAUCUGACUUCCUCCUUGGUGGAGAAUUACUGAGCAUUCCUGUUAAGAAUACAGCACAUCUGACAAAUAGAUUGAAUUGAAAAAUGUAUAAAAUCAUCUAAUUGUUAAUUGGAGAACUAGGUAAAAUCCUUAAUAUGUAGAGAAAUUUAAACAUACUUUUAUAGGUUUAUAUGUAUUUGGACAAAGAUUUUUUUGUUUUUCUCCAGGCUAAAACACCCAUAACCAUCAUCUUUGGUGAGGAGAAAAGACAGAUAUUUUAAAAAAAUUUGUGUGAUGAGAAUUUAUUUAUUCAAAUAUUGUUUUUUUCUUAUUUUCAAUCUUCAUUUUUUCCCUAAAGAUAAAUACCCAUCACUGUAUACAUCUACUUCUUGGAAUUUGCAAGGGAACCAGUCAACAGAUUUUUCAAGCCUUAUAAGUUUAUCUGCCUGAGAAGUUCACCAGCUACAUAACAUCCUGGACUCUGGAGCCCAAGAGAUGUGUAGUUUCCAUUUUGGAGCCAUUUUCUUUGAUAAAUAAGUAGUGAGGCUGCCAUUCUUGUCAAAGUUGAGGACCACAACCUUACUCAUGAAACUGAAAGAUUGUUUGUUAUGAGGAGUUCUGUUUGAGCCAUACAAGCAAUAUAUCCUUUUUAAAGAAAUGUAUCCGGAAUCUUAGGUGUUCAUUGCUCCAAGCCAUGU
This is a long non-coding RNA of Homo sapiens (human), 4633 nucleotides long. Lineage: Eukaryota; Metazoa; Chordata; Mammalia; Primates; Hominidae. The record is from Ensembl.